UUUACCUCAACUUCUAAGAGAGGCGAGCUUCUUCAAAAUGGAAUCAAUAGAAGAAAUUUCAGUGAAAAAGAGCAUUUGGCUAUUUCACUGAAAAUUAAAAUCAGCAAAACCCAACAAACCUAAAAUUUAAAAUCAUAAAAAACUAUAACGUGUUAGGUACAUAUCAAGUGUCAGGUGUGGUACUAGGCACUUCCAUGCCCUCCCAUUUCAUCUUUGAGGCAGCCCCAGGAGGAGGUACGGUGACCCUAUUGUGCUGGUGAGGGAGAGGGGGGCGUGUGCCUCCUAGAGCCAGGGUUCCCCUGGGUCAGUCGGACACCGAACCCUAGUCCAUCCCGUGUGAAUAGAACAGACAGGAACUAGGGGGAGACGCAUUUAACAUUUGUGAAAGCUUAUUCCAAUAAAUUAGAGAAUCACCAAGAUAUUCUAAUCAUAAAGGGUCCACACAUGACAGUUCCUGUAGCACAGGUGCCAUAAGCAGCCAGACACAGGGGGCUUCCUGAGAGCCCCUAACCCAACAUGCCUGGGGAGGGGUCUCUGGCAGAUCUGACCACUCUCAGGGCCACAGAACUCAAAAGGGAGCUGAGAGAGGCUCAGGAGACAGCCCAAAAGGCCACAGUGCCCCCUGAGACGAGGCCUGGCCCCUGGGAAGGCAAGACAGUGUCUGGCAGACACCACCUGGGUGACCUAAGUGAAGCAUGUGGGUCCAUCUUCAAAAUAAGAGCUGUUGGGAGGGUUAAACGAAGCCACAGAUGACAAGUGCCCAGCACCUGGUAGGUGUUCCAGGGCUCUGUCCCGGUUCCCAGCCCUCCUGGCACCUCCUUCGUGUGGGGCUGGAGGAAACCAAGGCGUGUAUGCAAGGAGCUUGUGACAAAGUUGUUGAAGCAGUGAUGGAGGAAAUGGGACAGGGGUGUGACCUAGUGAUCAGGAAGCUGCGUCUAUUUCUAGGCUGCAGGUGCAAAGGGGGUGGUGGGGUGGGGGUGCUGUGUAGCAAUGAGAAGGCCAUCAGCACCCUGGCUGGAGGCAACAGCCCAUGCACACACGCCUGCACCCACCUUCUAGUCUGAUGCAGAGGUCUCCCUUGGCUACUCUCGCUGGAACCUGGCCAGCCAGGGAGCAGGGGUAUAUAUGGCUUCCAGGCUUCUAGCCCUAGCAGUGUGUGGUAGGCAAAUAACGACUCCUCUAAAGAUAUCUACAUCCUAAUCCCAGAACCUGUGGAUAGGCUGAGUCACACUGCAAGAGGGAAUGAAGGCUGCAGAUAGAGCGAAGGUUUCUAACCACCUGACUUUAAAGUAGGGAGAUUAUGCUGGAUUAUCUGCAUGAAUCCAAUAUCCGUGAAAGUGGACGAGGAAAUCAGAAGAGAACCAUCAGAGAGCAACACGAGGACUCAUCCAACACUAUCAGCCUUGAGGAUGGAGGAAGGAGGAUGAGCAAGUGCCUCCAGAAGCUGCAAACGGUGAGGCUCCCAUUCUCCCGUGCAGCCUCCACGGAGGGAUGUGCGUUGAUUUGAGCCCAGUGAGAAGCGUGCUGGAUUUCUACUCUACAGAACUGUAAGCUAGUCACUUUGUGUUGUUCCCAGCCACUACCUCUGUGGUAGGGUUAGGGUUAGAGUUACGGUUUGGGUUAUCACAGCAGCCACAGAAAAGAGGGGUCACCAAAAGAGAGGCUGCCUGCGAUGGGAAAGCCAUGGACCCAGGAUCCUGCAUUACUGGAGCCAGGUCUCUCUGUUCUAGGGGCCUGGAGACACAGAGAGGUGGUAGUAUUAUCGCUGCUUUAUAAAUUAAGAAACCAAAGGACAGAGAGGUCAAAACACCUGCCUCAAGCUACACGGCACUCUGCGGUGGUUCUGGGAUUCGAGCCCAGGCAGCCUGACUGGGGGAGUGUAUUCUCAUCCACUCCCUGUCACUGCCUACUGCACGAUAAUUUGGGUGUUGUGUAACUUGUAUAGCAAAAUACUAGAAACAAUCUCAUUGUCUAGCACUAGGAUUAAGUGUUAAUAAAUCAUCCUAAGGCAUCAACUCAUUGGGUUUUAUGAAGGCUUUCAAAAUAAAUAUGAGCACCAUGGGAAAGUAUUGACAAACAACGUGAAAUGAAAACAGCAGGAUGCAGAAUCAUGCUUACCUUAUGCUUACAUGAUAACAAUAUGCCAAGGCCUGAAGCAGGAUCAUGAAGAAACAAAGACAUCUAUGAGGGCAGUAGGAGCAAGCGGCCCGCGUGUCCUUUGAUCCCCUGCACAUGAAGGUGGCACCGUAGUUAGCAGCAUGGGAUGCUCAGAGAACAGAGGGAAUUUGUUGCCGGACGGAUGGACCGGCUCCACCAGACACCACCUACAUUCUGUAAGUUAUCAGAGCCGCUGGGUCUCAUGUACAAUGGGAGCCAUAACACCUCCAGGUUCACAGAGUUGCGAAACCCACGUGGUCUCUAAAACAGGUCUUACUCCAUUUUUUAAACCAACAACUAUGAAGUCCCAGAAAGGUUAUGCACAUGGCCAAUGACACAGCUAUUAAGAUCCGACAUCGGCUGACUCUCAUUCCCAGGUUUUCCAAAAGCCAAAAUGCCCCAGUAACAGCUGACAUUUACAUGCCAUUUAUUUUGUGGGCCCCUCUUGAGUUUCGUGAAACCCAAGGAGCGACUAGACGAUCCCAGGGGGGCUACUGGAUUCUUGUCUCUUGUAGAAGCACAGAAGAAGGUUACCUCUUCUGUCCCUCUGACAUGAAUGUUCUUGAACUGGGCCUGGAUCCAGGUAACUGGAGAUGUUGCUAUGUGUUGAGAACACAUUACUUUCAAUGGCAAAAACCACAAUUACUUUUGCAUCAACCUAAUAAAUGUUACACACUCUAAACCUUAUUGUAUACAUUAUUGUAAUAAAUAAUUGAAUUAA
This is a long non-coding RNA of Chlorocebus sabaeus (green monkey), 2878 nucleotides long. RefSeq lists it as uncharacterized. The record is from RefSeq and is a predicted model, not a curated record. NCBI's taxonomy places the organism in Eukaryota, Metazoa, Chordata, Mammalia, Primates, Cercopithecidae.